Molecule: long non-coding RNA, 384 nt
Organism: Prinia subflava (tawny-flanked prinia)
Lineage: Eukaryota; Metazoa; Chordata; Aves; Passeriformes; Cisticolidae
Exons: 3
Source: RefSeq, a predicted model, not a curated record
GGGCAGUCCUACCUACUUCUCGAAAACACCUCCUACAAAAACCAAGAGAAGCAAGACCAUUUGCAACAAUAUACAACUCCUUGCAACUUGUUUGCUGACCCAGACCAUUUUCGUCCGCAAGUCAGUGAUUGGCGUUUAUCACAAAGUGACACUGGGACACUUGGGCACGACGUACGAGAGCGGAUGGGGCCAUGAUGCACUGAAGGGCUGAACAAGGAUCACUGCUGCUGUAAAGCUGUACGCAGUGCUUCACAGCUGCCUGCAUGAUCUGGUAGGAUGGUGAGACCACCACGUUUCCUUGGACAAGUAUCAGAACUUCACCUUGAACAAAGUGGGAUUAAGUUUUACUCAUUUUAGAAGAGCAUGCCUAUCGAACAUAUGGAC